UUUAACCUUUUGGCAAAGGGAGAAUAGCCGCGACCUUGUUGGAUCACUGACUGUAGAGUCAUUCGUGGAGUGAUUCUUGAUAUUUCUCAGAGACUAAAACGAAUAAUUGCCGAAAAUGUCAACAAACCAACCUGAGAACAAGAGUAGUAAUGUCCCUGCAAACGAAGUGUUCAGACGACAAGCAGAUCAGACCGAUGGUCAGAACCCGAACAAAACCAGCAGUAGCACUCACCAAGGGGGCGGUAUGUCGAGCACGGGAGUCGGCCAACAGAACAGCUGUGGUAGCCAAGGGAACAGCAGUUACCCCAAACCGUAGCCUAUUGGUAACACUGAUGAUAAAUGGAUGCUGCUGGAUGUGAUUUUCCUCGACAGAAGUUGAGACAAAAAUGAAAUUUUCUCUAAUUUUCAUACGUAAAAAGAUGUGCUGAAUACAUCCAGAUGGAUUUAACAUAACACGGACAGGAUCGGAUGAUAGCCAAUUUGAUUUGAAAUUCUCUUUCUAAUUGUAUUGAGUUUUAUCACGGACCUAAAUAUACUGCGGAUACAUGUGAAGUAAGUGCGUGACUUAUUAUUAACUUUUAAGACGUCAAAGUAAUCAACUUUUCUGAAAAUUUAUUCACAGAGGACGUUUUAGACUUGACGUAAAUAACUUUUGUUUUUCUGUUUGUUUUAUGAAUGGGAGCGCUGUCAUUUCAAACGGAAAUCAAUUGGAAGAGUCCACAGAUUGGUCCUUUCUUCACUAAUGCAGCGGCCAGAGAAAACCAUACACCCCCUGGUCAUUUCCAAUUGCGCAAAUACGUUCUGAAUAUGUAUACAAAAAACUUAUAUUCCAAGUUUCAACAAAGUUCCAUGCAUGAGAACUGCACUACAAAUACGGUGUAACGUUUUUGCUUAUUCCCCCAUAUUUCAGUGUUUCCAUACAAUAGACAGCUACUAUUCAAUAGGAGAAAACUGAGAAAAACUUAUCAAUCUGUCUUUCAGCGUUUCCAAAUAUUAUAUAAUCUGCGACGUUCAAUACCUUAAAUGAGGAUCAAAAUGCAACACCACAAUUAUUCCCUACUACAAGUGCUUGUUGUUAAAUUAAUGGGAAAUUUCAGAAAGAGGAUUGAUUUUUUUUGCAUUACUCACAAAGCAAUAAUACGUUAUGCGAUAUAUACCACGUGAUGCGAUCUAUGCCAUGUACUUGGCUGAGAGAAUAUUCAUUAUUUUGCAACCAAAUAUAUAGUUGAGCGCUUGCCAUUUUUCGCAAGACUUGUUCAAGAAGUUAAGAAGAUAAAAAUCAUUUGUGGAUAUCAGAAUAUUUUGUUUAAAAAUGCCGCCCAAAGAGGAUAAAAAAAUGCCGCCCAAAGAGGAUGAAACAAACGGACCUACAAAUGUACCCGGCGAUGAGGUUCCUAAACGGGUAAGGAAAACCUUUAAUAACUAUUACAGCAACAAUAUUGAUCAAUAAGUUUAAUUGAUCAAUUAGUUUAAAAGUCUAAUCCUCGUUCUCUUAUACUUCAUUAAAUGUAGGGUAUAAAACCCCAUGAAGGAUUCCGUUAUAACUUUCUGUUAGCAGUCCAUUUCAAACAAACAUAACAGUGCUUAGGCAGCCAGUCACACAUGUGAAUUCCUAUCCCUGCCCCACAUGAAAUGGCUAUACAUGCUUUGUCAAAUUUCCAUCGCCAAAUUUACCUUAUUAUUCAUUUACAUGUAUUAAAAAAUUCUUCUGAGAGUUUGAGUUUGUGAUCUCCUUCUUGAAGAUAUGGCCAUGCAAAAAAAUAAAAGGCCUAGGGUCGCUAGAUGAUAAAAUGUGUUUUCCUUAUUUGUAUUUUAGUCCAAACCUGAGACCCCAACCGAAAAGCGUUCUUCUCCGCCGACCCGGCAGAAGGGCGGGGGAAAUAAUAUCAGUAGUCAAAAUCGGGAUGAGAUAUUUUUUUGGUCAUGGCAUCUCUGCAUCGAGACCCAAAUUGUUGUUGUACGUUAUACAUCACGAUAUAAAAAGAAUUUCACAUUAAUCACAAAACAAUACUACGUUAUGUGGUAUAUACCACGUAAUGCGAUCUAUAUUACGUAAUUGGCUGAGAGAAUACUCAUUUCGCAACCGAAUAUAGUUGAGGCCCUUACCAUUUUUUGCCAGGCCUUUUAGCGAAGACAAAGAACAUUAAAAAAAAUUUUUUGUGGAUAUUAGAAUAUUUGUUUAAAAAUGCUGCCUAAGGGACAAAACAAAAGUUCGAAUGUACCUGCUAAUGAAGUUGAAAAAUGGGCUAGGAAGACUUUUAAUAACUAUUACAGACAGAUUCCCAUACCAAUUUCAGCAACAUUACUGAACAAUAAGUUUAAUUGUCAUCACAGCAGAGCAUUCAUUAUCUAACUUGACUUUAAUUCCGCGGGGUAUGUUUUUUCUCUAAAUCAUUAUCAAUACAAAUUUUGGACUCCAUCCGCCGAGUGAUAUUAGGUGAAAAUACUUAGUAGGCCCUGUGCUCACCUGUAAACUAUUGCAAGUCACCGAAAUUAUGAAACAUGGACAAGAGUAUGCAGUCGUCUUUUUGCAUGCUAUACUCGAAGCGAUUUAAAAAAAAUUAUUUCCAAAUAUUCAUACCAGUAUGAAAACAAUAACACCAUUUUGUACAUUUCAGUCCAACAGCAGUGGUAACGAGAAAGGUGUCUGGGAAAAAGUUAGGGAUUUGUUUACAGGUAAAUAACUGCAGAAACCGUGGCGACCGUGGAGCGGGCAGAUAGGCAUCAUUAUUUCUGACUUAAAGGACUUCAUCGAGAUUGAUGUCACUCGUGGAGGACAAAUAGAAAUUCGCUGCUGGGAGAGGAAGUAAUUCUAACGUUCUGGUGAUGGUGGAUGCUAUCAUGUUUUCCUGGGACAAAUGACAACAAAAGUAGCAGGGGGGGGGUGAUUUUUUUUGAAAUGGUAUAACAUUUACACAAAAUGAAACCGGCUACGGAAAUGCUAUUGAACGAAUUCUGCUUCAACUUUUCAACAUGAACCUAUAAUGAAACGGAUGGGAUUACAUUGGAUGACAUUGUGGGUUAAAAGUCUUCAUUCACCACUCUCUCAGCAUCGUUUAAGUAAGAGCAACUGAUCUGGUAGUUGUUUUUGCACAAACAGUAAAAUUAGUAAAAACAGUAGUGAAACUAAACCCCAAUUUCUUGUUGUAAUUUUUAAAAAGCAGUAAAAAAUAACCAUCAAAAUGGUUUAGAAUCACAAUUUCGAUAGUUAAACAAAAAAAGUACAUGUACAAUCGGUGCAAUAGGAAUUACACAAUAGUAAAAUAUGCGGUUAUAUUAUCCAUGCAAAUUUGUUGAAACUUGGAAUUUUCAGUUUUUGUAUAUCUGUCUACACAACAGGACGAUUGAAAAAAUAUUUUGUACGAAUUUUGAAGAUUGGAUAUUUUUCAAAUUCAAUCAAAAAUUUCAAAUUUUAAUGAACGGCUAAGACUUUUAUCAUUCGAAGGUUCUUUCCCUCAGAAAUGUUAUUCUCACCAACAUUGCUGAAACUUAAAGUCAUUCAUUUUUCUCUGUAGUAGCUUAACAUUCAUUAAACAGGUCAUUGCACAAAAUGUCUUUUUUGUCUCUUUAUUGGUUUUGUCACUUCAUAAUGUCGCUUGUUUUGACAUAGCCGGCGUUCUGGUAAGUACAACAUUUUCGACAUUUUGUUCUGCAGGGGUUCUGCCUGCUACAUGUAUGUCUGAGAAAUACAUAUUAUAGAUUUUAUCUUAUCUUGUGACCUCACCCUUCUAGGUAUGAGAGAAGACCUAGGUGUGGUCUCCCAACUAGAUAUAGAAGUUUAAAGUGAUACUAAACUCGAUUCGAAACUCAAGUGUGUAAUCUAUUUUGGAUCUGAUAGUGGGUAAGAUAGUUGAACUCGGAUGCUUCCCUGCAGUGAUUUAUUAUGCAAAUUAGUCACUGAAAAAAUCACAUCCUGCAUGCACAACUUCAACAUGUCACCUAUCAUCUCUGAAUAGAAUAGAAUAAGUUUUAUUGCUCAACAAAAUUUCAUUGCGUAGAGCACAAAACUACCUAUAUAAAAUAGAAAUACGAAUAUACAUGCGAAGGUUUUUUAACAUCAACAAAGAAUACGAAUUUGCUUACAAUAUGAUUAGAGUAGUUGGAGAGACUUUGACAAAAAUUUAGUUAGUUUUAUUAAUGUAUUCUUUGGCGAGUUCAAAAGUUUUACAUAUUUAAAUAAAUCGGGAUAUCUGUGAAAGUCGGCUGGAAUGUAAUUUACUCGAAUGUUUGAAAAGAAGGGGCAUACGAGGGCGAGGUGAAAUUCAUCUCCAACUACUCCGAGGUUACAUUUAUUACAUGUACGUUCUAGUCGGGGGGGGGGAGGGGUAUUAUUAUACCGGGCUAAUUCUAUAGGGAGUUUAUGGUUGGUACAUCUAAAUUUACAGAGUAAUAUACGUUGGGCUUGAGAUAGACAAAGCAAAUAAUUCUCAAACCCCAUGCAAACUUGAUUUCUCUGUAGAUCAAACAUUUUGGAGAGUUUAUCAGAGUAUUGCGCCAUUCUUGGAGAUACUGGUCCUGCAGUCGUCUUCUGACAAUUUCACCGAGAUAAUUAACGUUGAGGAACAUCUGUGUCAGCCAGAUGUCCCCGAGCCCACAAAGUUCCAAAAUAUUUUUGACAAACGCGACCCAUUUGAUAUUUUGACCGUUUUGGUGUCUAUGGUAUGCAAUUUUAUACAUUUUUCCGGCUAUAGUUUGUUCCUGUAGAAAAUGUCAGUUCUCUUCACCAAGCGCUAGCGGUUACAAUGCGUUGUCCGAAAAUGAUUUUUUGUCAUUUAAUGAUUACCUAAUAGAGCUCAUAAUCUCAUGAACAAAGCGAAACAUUUACACUUGGCAGAGUGACAUUGCAAUGAAACGAGGCUAGACAAAUAUAGAUAUAUUUUUUCGGUUCAGAUGAUAAGGCACAAAACAAAAGUUCGAAUGUAUCUGCUAAUGAAGUUGAAAAAUGGGUAAGGACGACUUUGAAUAACUAUUACAGACAGAUUCCCAUACCAAUUUCAGCAAUUUCACAAUUUCGAUAGUUAAACAAAAAGGUACAGUCGGUGCAAUAGGAAUUACCACAAUAGUAAAAUAUUUUUUUUGAUAGUUAUUUACACUAAUUAAUUUCAAGAAUGUGCAUUUGCUUGACAUUUGGACUACAACCUGCUGUUCGAAUCAUUCAAAUGAAACGCCCACCACCACAAUGUAGAGUGUGCGCAACUGUUCAUCAUGGUGCAGGUGUUACCAUGGCUUCGGUUAAAAUGACCAAUGGUGCCGCAACAACUCGAGAUAGGUUGUCUUGGAGAGCUUGACAACGCCAUUGAUCACGACGAUCUGACUGCUGAAACUUGGAUUCAUAUUAUCUCGUUGAGAUAGAACACAGUCCCUCAUCGGUCAAUUUGAAUAAUUGAAAAAUGCCUCGCAAAGGAGAGAAUAAAAGCACGGAAGUUACUGGGAAUGAGGUGGAACGUAGAACUGAGCAGUCGCUUAAUGGGCCUCCUCCUCCAAGGCCUCACCAGGAAGGUGCAAUAAGACUCAGCGAUACUCCAACGAGGCACAGUGGAGGGUGUGAGUGCUGCUGAACUGCAGCUAACAAAAAUGCAAUGACUUGAUCACAUAUUCCUAACAAGUCCGAUAGAUAUAUAUCACGAAUGUCUGAGACAUCUUCAUCCGAACGAUAUCUUACUCCAACGGAACAUAAUAUCAUCUUAACAUUACAACAUGAACGUUGAUUGUUUGUUUCCUCACUUGAGUCAAUCAUCACAAAGAUAAUUCAAAGGAGCACUGUCAUACAUGUGUUACGAUUUUAAAUAACCUUUAAAGGGGUACACCGUUCGUAAAACUGGUGGAUCAGGGAAAUAGAAAUGCAGUUAUGCACAAUGCCGUAGUGCGGUUAUAUUAUCCAUGCAAAUUUGCUGAAACUUGGAAUUUUUAGUUUUUAUAUAUCUGUCUACACAACAGGACGAUUGAAAAUAUAUUUUGUACGAAUUUUGAAGAUUGGAUAUUUUUCAAAUUCAAUCAAAAAUUUCAAAUUUUAACGAACGGCUGAGACUUUUAUCAUUCGAAAGUUCUUUCCCUCAGAAAUGUUAUUCUCACCAACAUUGCUGAAACUUAAAGUCAUUCAUUCAACUCUGUAGUAGCCUACUGUAAUUAACAUUCAUUAAACAGGUCAUUGCACAAAA
Molecule: long non-coding RNA, 6158 nt
Organism: Lineus longissimus
Lineage: Eukaryota; Metazoa; Nemertea; Pilidiophora; Heteronemertea; Lineidae
Exons: 4
Source: RefSeq, a predicted model, not a curated record